CGAGACCAGCCUGGUCCGACACGGCAAAACCCUGUCUCUACUAAAAUACAAAAAAUUAGCUGGGCGUGGUGGCGGGUUCCUGUAAUCCCAGCUACUAGAAAGGCUGAGGCAGGAGAAUUGCUUGAACCUGGGAGGCGGAGGUUGUAGUGAGCCGACAUCACGCUACUGCACUGCAGCCUGGGCAACAGAGCGAGACUCCAUUUCAAAAAAAAAAAAAAAAGAAUGGCUACUCCAUAGGCAGAGCGGCCCCAAAGGCUGCUGGUUGCCCAUUUUCAUGGUUAUUUCUUGAUCAUAUGCUAAACAAGGGGUGAACUAUUCAUGAGUUUUCCAGGAAAAGGGUGGGCAAUUCCCAGAACUGAGAGUUUCUCCCCUCCCUUUUGAGACCUUAUAAGGUAACCUCCAGACGUUGUCAUGGCAUCUGUAAACUGUCAUGGUGCUGGUGGGGGUGUCUUUUAGCAGCUAAUGCAUUCUAAUUAGCAUAUAAUGAGCCGUGAGGACAAUCAGAGGUCACUCUCGUGGCCACCUUGGGUUUGGUGGGCUUUGGCCGGCUUCUUUACUGCAAACUGCUUUAUCAGCAAGGUCUUCAUGACCUGUAUCUUGUGCGACCUCCUAUCUCAUCCUGGGACUAAGAAUGCCUAACCUCCUGGGAAUGCAGCCCGGCAGGUCUCAGCCUCACUUUACCCAGCCCCCAUUCAAGAUGGAGCUGCUCUGGUUCACAUGUCUCUGACAAGUUGACCUGGGUUGAGUGUUCCAUAGCGUGUGGUUGUUGGAGCUUUUCUUAGGAGUAAGAAGUAUUGUUAGUAGGAAACAGGCCUCUAUUGGCCCUGGGGCUGGCACUCUGCCCCAGUAUGUCAGUCUCAUUUUAGUGGUGACCAAACUGGGGCUCAGAGAAAUCAACUCCCUCACCCCGAACCCCCAGACUGUGAGUGGUGGGCUGGGGUUUGAAUGUGGGGCUUGAAGACCCACCGUUUCCUCUGGUCCCCCAUGCUCUGCUGCCCGAGAGGAACAGGAUCCCAGGAUCCAGGCCCCUGAUGGCACCAGCCAGGGUGGGUGGAAAUGGGGAGGCACAGUCCCAAAGCCCCCAGGACUCUGAGGCAGGUCGGGGGCUGAGAGCAACCCGGAACUGCAGACCCCACCCCGAGAGGAAUGGCUGCAGGCCCGGCCCGGCAGGCAGGAGGUCUGUGUCCUCAGUGACCGUGACGACGCUUCCCGCUGCUCCAGCCAGGCCGUGCCGUCUUCAUGUUUCUUCUGGGGAGAUGAAUGCCUUUUGAAACUAGACGGUGUGGGUGGGUGCACAGCACUGUGAGUGCACAAAUGCCACCACAUUAUUCACGUUGAAAUAGUUAAUUUCAUGCGAUGUGAAUGUCACCUCAUUUUAAAAGUGUUUAAAAGAGGGGCCUGGGAGAGUGCAGUGUUUGUGAGAAUCACGUGGGGCACCCACAAUCUCUGAACCUCGGUUUCCUUGCCGUAAACUGGCGAAGAGACCGUGUGAGCCGUGUUUCCUGGGGCCAAGAGAUUCCAAGAAGGAAAACCUGGGAUUCCUGGGGACUGAGAUGAGGGCCGGGGGCCGGAAGGGGAGGGGUACAUGGGGAGGGCUGAGGGGCAGCCCA
This 1610-nucleotide long non-coding RNA is filed under the name Homo sapiens (human). RNAcentral's name for it is "HSALNT0068787". The record is from RNAcentral. Lineage: Eukaryota; Metazoa; Chordata; Mammalia; Primates; Hominidae.